GACGAACGCUGGCGGCGUGCCUAACACAUGCAAGUGGAGCGACGAACCGGGUCUUGCCCCGGGGCAGAGCCGCGCACGGGUGAGUAACACGUGGGUGACCUGCCCCGUUGACUUGGACAACCCGCCGAAAGACGGGCUCUUACCGGAUGUGCCCCUAGGGGGAAAGGAAGCUUCUGCCUCCGCAUCGGGAUUGGCCCGUGGCGCAUUAGCAUGAUGGUGGGGUAAUGGCCUAGCACGGCGACGAUGCGUAGCUGGUGUGAGAGGACGAUCAGCGACACUGGAACUGGGACACGGCCAAGACUCCUGCGGGAGGCAGCAGUGGGGAAUCGUGCACAGAGGGCGGAAGCGUGAUGCAGCAACGCCGCGUGCGAGAAGGAGGCCUUAGGGUUGUAAACCGCUUUCAGUUGGGACGAAGCUUUGAUGGUGGAUAGCGGUUUGGAGUGACGGUACCUUCAGAAGAAGCGCCGGCUAACUACGUG
This 479-nucleotide ribosomal RNA is filed under the name uncultured bacterium. Its description in RNAcentral is "partial 16S ribosomal RNA". It matches the Rfam family "Bacterial small subunit ribosomal RNA", at positions 28 to 507 of the family's 1533-position model. The record is from RNAcentral.